CUCUCUCUCUCUCUAUCCCUCUCUUUCUCUCUCUCUUCUAGUUUAUCCUACUGUGGCGGUAACACCAGUAGCUGCUGUGCAACUACACCACUUCUGUGACGCCUGCCAACAAGCGUAUGGAGCUGUAUCGUAUCUGAGGACCACGUGUGAAGAUGCAACCCACCAUAUCUCCUUCGUGUGUGGCAAGGCCAAGCUAGCCCCUCUGAAACAGCAGACCAAACCUCGACUCGAGCUCUGCGCGGCAGUACUGGCUGCCAAGGCAAACAAACAACUAUGGUGGCAGGAUGAGCGGAUAAGGGAGGAGUUGGGUGGAGAAGAACAAGUCUGAAUGUGUGUGGAGUCUGUGGACAUGUGUUCUCCAACGUGGCCCUCUCAAUUUCUAACUUGGCCCUCGC
Molecule: long non-coding RNA, 395 nt
Organism: Homarus americanus (American lobster)
Lineage: Eukaryota; Metazoa; Arthropoda; Malacostraca; Decapoda; Nephropidae
Exons: 3
Source: RefSeq, a predicted model, not a curated record